Passer domesticus (house sparrow) is the source of this 6684-nucleotide long non-coding RNA. RefSeq lists it as uncharacterized. The transcript is spliced from 2 exons. NCBI's taxonomy places the organism in Eukaryota, Metazoa, Chordata, Aves, Passeriformes, Passeridae. The record is from RefSeq and is a predicted model, not a curated record.
AAAAACCAGCUGUGGGUUAUUAACCUCAGGCACCACCUGCACUGCCCCAAGCCUUUAUCCUUCCUGGGAGCCCUGAGGGUGAAGUGGCAAGUGCCUUUUAUUGUCUAUUAAGAUCUUGCAGGCUAUUUUGCCAGAAGUACCAGAGCUAUGCUUCUGGUGGCUUUUUGUUUUUAGCCCUAGGACUUGUCCUUUUUUUGGGAGAAUGGAAUGCAUCUGGGGUGUGCUGGAUAUUUCUGAGUGCAUGGUGGAGCCUCAUGAUAAUUGGAAUAUCUGUCAUGGUCCCAAGCUGCAAUGCGAGGGGGACUUUUAAUGAAGAUCCAGAGCCUGGGACUGCUGGCUCCCAGAUCCUCUGCUCCUGGUGGGAGUGAAGCCCUUUGAAGUGCUGCUGCAGCAAGGCAGGUUUUUGGGACCAGGGCAGCCCCACGGGAGGACAGCUGUGCAGUCCUCUCCUGGUGGGAACGAUGUGACCCCGGAUUCCUGCGGGGUGGGAUAGGGCAAGAGAAACCUCCACUUGCUCCCCUGAGGUCUGGCAGCCACGCUCUGCUCGCUGUCUGUCCCCUCCUGCUGGCCUUCACCCCGUCCAGGGACAAGGCUGCAGCUGCUCCCCAGCCCCACAGGAGCAGGAUUUGGGUCUGUGUGGGGCAGCUGCAGCCCACGGCAGGCACAGAAACAAACUGGGGCUUUCCUGAGGCAGGGAAUGCAGCCUCAGCUCUGCUGUGCAUCCUCACUGCCAUGACUGAUGCCUCUCUGGGGACUGGAGAAGAUUGCUGAGUGGGCAGGAGCUCAGGAAAUCAGGCAAUUUAAGGGGCUUUUGUGUGGAUUGAAGAGCCCCCAGACAGACACCUGCUUCUGAAAAUUUAUGCCAAGGGCACCAGCUGGGUGCAGGAAAGGAUCUGUGAGGUUGAGUUGGGCUGAGGCUGCUGUGUCAGACUGGGGUCCCUGAGCCAGAGGGAGCUGGCAGGGGCACAGUUCUGGCUGCAGGGACAAGGGUGACCUCCCUGCCUGGCAGAGAGGGUCUCUGGUGGGUGAUGGAGACAUGCCGCAGCUCAAGGAGCUCAUCCCUUGCCAUGGGGCUGCCCAGGUACAGCCAUUAGCCCUGCUCAGAGCAUCGACCUCCUGGUGGCUUGGUGGCUUCUGUCACAGGCUCAGUCCUUCAAGGAAGGAUCCCCCAAUCUCUGGAGACCUCCAGAAUGACCUCAGAGACCUGCAGACAGGGCAGUACAGCCCACAGCCCUGCUCCUCCAAUCAACCACCCAGUCCUGUGCCUGUGCAAUCCCUGCAGGCUGCCUGUGCUGGCUCUGGGGGCCUGUGGGGACCAGGGCAAGCAGAUCUGGCUGCAGCUUCCAGGCCUUCCUUUGUAAAUAAGCACCUAGCUGCUAUGGUAAUGCUUAUUUAAUUUAGACUAAGCAUUUCUGCAGCUGUUCUGGGGGAGUCAUGCUGCUUUAUGCUCAGUGUUAAUUCGUGGCUGCUCACAGCUGCAGAGUGUAUUGGCCAGGCACACCCUAGGGACAGGUUCUGCUGCCUGGUAGGGCACAGCCAUGAGGGCUGUCCCUGCUCUGGGCUUCCUGGGAAGUGCCAAGUGCUCCCCAAGACCACUGCACGCAGCUUACACCAGACAGAGACCAGUGCUGAACUGUGCUAGCAAAGCAGGCUGUAAAUUCUAGGUGACCUAAGGCAUUUUAAAAGAAAAAGGAUGCUGGUGCAUUUCCCAGGUGUAGCUGUCGUUUUUCCUGCCCUCUGCCCAGUCACACUGUGCCAGAAUGCAUGCUGGGUUUGCCUGCCUCAGUUGCACAGGAUUGAAUCUCCCCUUGCUCCUCAUCCAGGUUUUGAAUGACCAGGGUGGGUCAAGGUGCAGAGGUGAAGGGGACAGACCUGAGCAUGUGGCACAGGCACCUGAGGGACCCCAGGGGUUACAAGCAGUUGGUGGAGGCAGGAGGGUGUCAGGGAGCUGCUGGGGAAGGUCCUUGCUUUGGAGCCACCAUCAGAGCAGAGCUGCUUCAGCGCUGGCCAUAGGAGCCCUGUGCACCCUGAGCCAACUCUUCCUCAGAGCUGUGGGGACACAGCAACCAUCCCCAAAGAGCCCACAGAACCCCUGCUCCACUCUGCAGCACACCAGAGCCACAGUGCAGCUGAACCCUCUCCCAGCCAUGGGAUCCAUGGACUCCAAGGCUGAAAGGCUGCCAAGCCAUCCUGCUGCAGCAGGUGGGCCCUGCUGGCGAGGAGGAGCUGCAGCCAGUGCUCACAGCCCCCAGUGCUGGGAGCAGCUGGGAAGAUGCUGCUGUUGGCCAAGUGUGAUAAAAGUCUCCCUCCAGCCUCCCCUGGGCUGGGGUGGGUUGGAAAGCCUGGCUUAGUUUGCACUUGGGAUGAAGGCACUCUGCAAAAAGCAGAUUUUAGGACAUGACGGGCUGAAGUCAAGUCUCUGUGGAGGAUUUUGGGGCAGGCUUUGGGGAGCUGCAGGGUGCUGUGCAGCUGGAAAGGGCUCAGGAUUGCUGUGGUCCCAGCGUGGUCUCAGAGGGCACAGACCUUUGUGCAGGUGAGCUGACCCUGGGCACGAGUGAGCUGUGGACCCCAGCUGGUGGUGGGUCCAACCACGCCGUGGCUCCCACCACCUGAGGUGACCCUGGGCCCAAGCCUGCCAUGAACCAUGGUGGUUCCAGGUUCCAAGCUGGCCAGGGCCCCAACCAUUCUGCAGACCUCACACCAGCUCAGGCGGUGAGCAAAGCUUUGCAGAGGUGCUGGGUCUGUGCUCGGGCACACCAUCAGCUCCAUCCACGGCUCGUUUGGACCCGCUGCCAUCUCAGGGGUGCAGAGCUUGCAGAACCAACUUUGCCCCCCCUGGGACGAUGCUGGGCCCAUGGCAUGCUGAAAUGAGCCCACUCUGGCAGGAGCCCGUGCGUGAGUUGUCUCGCAAUCUGUUUAUGGCUGGGUUUGUGUCAGAAUUUAAACACUGCAGCGAGGAGUAAACGCAGCGAGCCCCACGCGGGCUUUGUUAUGACAUUUUGUUGCAGGCAGGAGGCAAGCUCCAGCUCCAAUAACAAACACCCAGUGUUAUGACACUUUUACCUUUCCAACUAUUUAUGCAAGCGCAAAUAUUUUAUUUUAAGGUUUGAGACACACCGUUAACACAAAGCAGUCUCAUUCCUGUCAGUGCAGCCUGGUUCUCACUUGGGGAGCUGUUGUUUAAUGAAAAGGUUAAUUGUGUUUUAUGGGGCUCUAUUGCCUGCCUACCAGUCUCUGGCUUGGAAGGAGGCGAGGUGCGGCUGCUGGUGCUCGUGCCAAGUUAUGGGCUGUGAAUACAGGCAGUUUCUGGGAAGAAAACAAAAUGCAUGACAAGAAGUGGCUCAGAAACCACUUGGUUUUGUGGUGCAAAUCUGUUUAGGUGCUACGGAAUUAAUUUCAUGUGAAAUUAUUUCCAACGAGGCUACCCCAUGACAACACCCAGCGCGGUGGAGGAUGAGAAUGGAGUUUCAAAGAACAAGGGCUGUUUUCUGCUCAGCUGCAAACACACUCAGCCUUGCCCUUCCAUAGCUGUACCAUGUUAAAUCCUGCAAGUAUUUUCCUCUCCUGAGGUUGAAUUAAUUAACUUGAAAUUUCUUAACAGCCUGUAAUGAGUGCAGAGAGCAGAAGGAACCGAAAGUUUAAUCUUGACUUGUCAGCAAAUUCCUCCUCCAGCAGCUGAAGGAGCAGCAGCCAUGCACUUGCAUAAUGCCCUGGUGUGGCCACCGGACUGUUUUGAUUAAAUGGAUUCUGGGGGUUUAGGAAAACUACAAAUUUUAUAGCUCUGGUGUUCUCUGCAAAAGUGAUGUAAAACAUCGUAAAGCUGCCAAACCACCACUGCGGUGCAGGGAUCCAUGCUGGCCUCCUCUGCAGCAGGGACUGUCAGCCUCAGAGAGCACUGCUAAGAAAACAAUCCAGAGGGAAUUGGCAGAAUGGUCUGGGGAGGGGAGGUUUGUGCACUGCAAACUUUUGUUCCCUCUUUCUGAGCAAUUAAUGUCUUUCGAUCCGUGCCGCUUAGAAGCCACAUGUGGAUUUGGCCUGGUGUUUGACCUGAACACUGCAGAACUCAGUGUUUCUCUGCAUCAGCACCACCCACAGCAGCAGUAAUACCUGAACUUCUCCCAUUGGAAGAGGUUUAAAACCUGUCUGUGUCACAAUACUGCCCUUUCUGCCUUCAGAGUGCAUUGAAGAUGGAUCCAGGGAAAUGGACUGUCUAAACAGUGGCUCCAGAGUAACUGAAAGAAGGUGUUAUUAGCCCAAAAACUCAUGUAGGGAGUCAUCCCCUGCCCCAUAUCCACCCCAUAUGCCACCUGGCAACUGCCCCAAGCAGUUAUACCCACUCCAGCUGCUCCUGAAGGGUGAACUCUCACCUGGGUGUCUCCAUCAAGUGUGCUGGAUCCCCAGGUCAGUCUGUGUCCCCUCAAACCUAACCCAGCUGUCAGAGCUUGCUUUGUUUUUCACUCAUGAGUGGGGUGAUGACCUGGUGCCUUGCAGAAGAAACAGCCUGGAAUAUGUAGUCUGUCUGUAGGCUUUGUCAGCUCCUUCUGUUGCAAAGCCUCACAGGUUUGGGCUGGAUGGAAGCCCUGGGAAUGCUGCACCCUCCACUGAGGGUCUGCCUCUGAGAUUUUGGGGAAUGGUCCCUCUUUUGGAAAAUUUUGAUGUAUUUUCCUAUGGGUUGGAGAGCUUAAAUACAUGUCAGGGCUUCUUAGAGAAAAAACUGAAUUCCUGAAAUCAAAUCAAUUGCAUUAAAAUUCUAGUUACAAUGGUAGCCACUCUUUCUUGAGAACAGUGCCAGAGGUGAACAGUGCUGAGUAAGACUGAUGAUUCUAAUGGCCAAGACCUGAGUAUUUCAACAUCCCAGGCCCUGAAGAAGAGUCAAACUCAGAGCAGAAGGGCAGAAAAUGGAGCCCUGUUCACUGCCAAGAGGCAGCAGGGAGGAUGGACACAGAAACGAUGCUCUAGUCAGCACUGUCACCAAACUGUUCACUUGACUCUUUCCUUCUUUUGCUCUUCUUUUAUUUUAUUCCUUCUUCUUGUCAUCAGAGCAAAUCCUGCUGCCAACACCGUUGGGACAAAGUGCUCAGUGCUGGUGGGUCACUGGCAUGGAGCAGGGGGCUGUUCCUGCAGCCCAGCCGUGGUCCCAGGUGAGCUCUUGGACCCAGCAGCAUCCCAGGUCCCAUCCACACUUGGGGCCAGCCCUGAGACAAUGCUGGUCCAAGCCACACUCAGAUCCAGCAUCACCUCAGACGGCAACGGGACUCGUGUGAGGCAGAACUGUGCUCUGGAUGAAACUGGUGGAAAGAAUUUAGAAUCAAAAUACUGUUAAAUGCCUCUAAUGUAGAAAUGUAAGUUCUUUAAACCUGAAGAUUUAAUUGAUAUUUUUUCUUCAAAUAACGGACUAAUGUCAAGUAAUUUAAGCCAUUUUACAGCAAAGGCAAUUGAAUAAUUGCUAAUGGCUUUCAGCUGAACGUGUUUAAAGUCAGGUCACAAAUCUGAGCUGAUUGAAAGACCAAGGGGCAUUCCUUUCUCUUGAAAAAGAAUUAGAUAACAAUGACAAUUAGAAGGUGGGAUUCAAAGGAAAGUUAGAAUUUGAGUAUGAGCCUUGGCAGACCAAGAGGGAAAGAACUGACCUGAUGAAGAAAAAUUGUUGCCAACUAUCCUGUGGAGUGAUUGAGGAGAGAAAAAGAAAAGAAAUCAGAGACUUUACAAUUAAAAUUUUGAAUUAUCUUAAUGUGCAUUAAGGGGUGAAAGUUUUUUUCAGCUUGGUGCAAGAUAUCCUGGGCUGUGGCUGCACCUUUCAUCCAUUCCCAGGCUGGCAAACGAUCUGGAUGAUGAGCACUUUGGCUGGAAAUCCCAUGGGCACACUGUGGCAUGCAGAGCAGUGCAGACUGGCAUGGCAGCACUGCCACACGCUCUGUGUCUAGGGGUGGUCACAGCGUGCAGAUUUAAAAUAACCCCCAAGCUCAGGAGAAUUAUUCAGAGAAAUACUCCUAAAUAUUUGCACGGGUGUUCUCAGAGCAAAUAAACCUCACACUUUUACAAAGAACAAUUUAUUGAUACUGCAGACAAGCUGGAACUGCAGCCUCAAGUUGCUGUUGGGGCAAGUCGUUGUUGUGUUUGUUUUCCUGCUGCUGGCUCAGGAAUUUGUUGGCUUUGGGAGCUGGCAGGUGCCUGUCCUCACGUUGCUGCACGUGUGUCACCUGGCACUGAACACUGCCACGUCUGCUGCCUGCCCUUGCCCUGCUGUGGGGGCUCAUCCUGCUGCUGGGGAGGGCAUUCCAACUCUGCAGCAGGCAGAGCCAGGCACAGCAGCUCUAAAACUGCUCCACAGAAUAAUUGCAAAGUGCAACGUGCCCAGCCUGGGGUCUGAGGGGUAAUUCAGGAUAUUCACACCCAUAUCGGCUGCAGCUGUCUCCUGAAGCUAGUGGGGACUUUCAGUGACAUCUUACAGCAGUGGCUUCCAUGUUCCAGUGAACAAAUCUCUGCCUUUUGCUGUUCUCUGGACUGGUCUUGCUCUGGUAGUUCUGGGAGGAGGAAGACAAGAAUUCCUCAUCAGUUUUCUUCAAAUAAUAGAAAGUGAAUUCCUUUGUCUCCUCCUUUUUUGAUUCCUUUUAAGGUAACUGGUUCUGGCUCUUCAGAGGGGAACUUACUUUUUACCUCAGUGUUUGUUCACUUCUGUCAAUCCUU